This 433-nucleotide ribosomal RNA is filed under the name uncultured bacterium. RNAcentral's name for it is "partial 16S ribosomal RNA". It matches the Rfam family "Bacterial small subunit ribosomal RNA", at positions 29 to 507 of the family's 1533-position model. The record is from RNAcentral.
AACGAACGCUGGCGGCAGGCCUAACACAUGCAAGUCGAGCGAGGACUUCGGUUCUAGCGGCGGACGGGUGAGUAACGCGUGGGAAUGUGCCCUUCUCUACGGAAUAGCCCUGGGAAACUGGGAGUAAUACCGUAUACGCCCUAUUGGGGAAAGAUUUAUCGGAGAAGGAUCAGCCCGCGUUGGAUUAGGUAGUUGGUGGGGUAAUGGCCUACCAAGCCGACGAUCCAUAGCUGGUUUGAGAGGAUGAUCAGCCACACCGGGACUGAGACACGGCCCAGACUCCUACGGGAGGCAGCAGUGGGGAAUCUUAGACAAUGGGGGCAACCCUGAUCUAGCCAUGCCGCGUGAGUGAUGAAGGCCUUAGGGUUGUAAAGCUCUUUCAGCUGGGAAGAUAAUGACGGUACCAGCAGAAGAAGCCCCGGCUAACUCCGUG